Molecule: ribosomal RNA, 468 nt
Filed under: uncultured bacterium
Lineage: Bacteria
Description: partial 16S ribosomal RNA
Rfam family: Bacterial small subunit ribosomal RNA
Source: RNAcentral
GACGAACGCUGGCGGCGUGCUUAACACAUGCAAGUCGAACGGUGAAAGAAGAGCUUGCUCUUCUGGAUCAGUGGCGAACGGGUGAGUAACACGUGAGUAACCUGCCCCAGACUCUGGAAUAAGCGCUGGAAACGGCGUCUAAUACCGGAUACGAGAAAGAGCUGCAUGGCUACUGUCUGGAAAGUUUUUCGGUCUGGGGUGGACUCGCGGCCUAUCAGCUUGUUGGUGAGGUAACGGCUCACCAAGGCAACGACGGGUAGCCGGCCUGAGAGGGCGACCGGCCACACUGGGACUGAUACACGGCCCAGACUCCUACGGGAGGCAGCAGUGGGGAAUAUUGCACAAUGGGCGAAAGCCUUAUGCAGCGACGCCGCGUGGGGGAUGACGGCCUUCGGGUUGUAAACCUCUUUCAGCAGGGAAGAAGCGAAAGUGACGGUACCUGCAGAAGAAGCACCGGCUAACUACGUG